UACGGAGGGUGCAAGCGUUGUUCGGAAUUACUGGGCGUAAAGCGCGUGUAGGCGGCCCUGUAAGUCAGAUGUGAAAGCCCUCGGCUUAACCGGGGAAGUGCAUCUGAAACUGCUUGGCUUGAGUACCGGAGAGGGAGGCGGAAUUCCCAGUGUAGAGGUGAAAUUCGUAGAUAUUGGGAGGAACACCGGUGGCGAAAGCGGCCUCCUGGACGGAUACUGACGCUGAGACGCGAAAGCGUGGGGAGCAAACAGG
Molecule: ribosomal RNA, 253 nt
Filed under: uncultured bacterium
Lineage: Bacteria
Description: partial 16S ribosomal RNA
Rfam family: Bacterial small subunit ribosomal RNA
Source: RNAcentral